Molecule: ribosomal RNA, 497 nt
Filed under: uncultured bacterium
Lineage: Bacteria
Description: partial 16S ribosomal RNA
Rfam family: Bacterial small subunit ribosomal RNA
Source: RNAcentral
GACGAACGCUGGCGGCGUGCCUAAUACAUGCAAGUAGAACGCUGAAGAGAGGAGCUUGCUCUUCUUGGAUGAGUUGCGAACGGGUGAGUAACGCGUAGGUAACCUGCCUUGUAGCGGGGGAUAACUAUUGGAAACGAUAGCUAAUACCGCAUACCAAUGGAUGACCCAUGUCAUUUAUUUGAAAGGGGCAAAUGCUCCACUACAAGAUGGACCUGCGUUGUAUUAGCUAGUAGGUGAGGUAACGGCUCACCUAGGCGACGAUACAUAGCCGACCUGAGAGGGUGAUCGGCCACACUGGGACUGAGACACGGCCCAGACUCCUACGGGAGGCAGCAGUAGGGAAUCUUCGGCAAUGGGGGCAACCCUGACCGAGCAACGCCGCGUGAGUGAAGAAGGUUUUCGGAUCGUAAAGCUCUGUUGUAAGUCAAGAACGAGUGUGAGAGUGGAAAGUUCACACUGUGACGGUAGCUGACCAGAAAGGGACGGCUAACUACGUG